This 253-nucleotide ribosomal RNA is filed under the name uncultured bacterium. RNAcentral describes it as "partial 16S ribosomal RNA". It matches the Rfam family "Bacterial small subunit ribosomal RNA", at positions 524 to 776 of the family's 1533-position model. The record is from RNAcentral.
UACAGAGGGUGCGAGCGUUAAUCGGAAUUACUGGGCGUAAAGCGCGCGUAGGCGGCUUUGCAAGCCGGAUGUGAAAUCCCCGGGCUUAACCUGGGAACUGCAUUCGGGACUGCAUUGCUAGAGUAUGGGAGAGGGAAGUGGAAUUUCCGGUGGAGCGGUGAAAUGCGUUGAUAUCGGAAGGAACGCCGGUGGCGAAAGCGACGUACUGGACCUCUUCUGACGCUGAGGCGCGAAAGCUAGGGGAGCAAACGGG